RNAcentral lists this small RNA (27 nucleotides) under Bombyx mori (domestic silkworm). RNAcentral's name for it is "ovarian small RNA-17323". The record is from RNAcentral. Lineage: Eukaryota; Metazoa; Arthropoda; Insecta; Lepidoptera; Bombycidae.
GGAGUACAUGGUUGGUCACGUGGGACC